RNAcentral lists this ribosomal RNA (163 nucleotides) under Microlicia pentagona. Its description in RNAcentral is "Trembleya pentagona 5.8S ribosomal RNA". It matches the Rfam family "5.8S ribosomal RNA". Rfam says of the family: 5.8S ribosomal RNA (5.8S rRNA) is a component of the large subunit of the eukaryotic ribosome. It is transcribed by RNA polymerase I as part of the 45S precursor that also contains 18S and 28S rRNA. The record is from RNAcentral. Lineage: Eukaryota; Viridiplantae; Streptophyta; Magnoliopsida; Myrtales; Melastomataceae.
UAAAUGACUCUCGGCAACGGAUAUCUCGGCUCUUGCAUCGAUGAAGAACGUAGCGAAAUGCGAUACUUGGUGUGAAUUGCAGAAUCCCGCGAACCAUCAAUUCUUUGAACGCAAGUUGCGCCCGAAGCCAUUCGGCCGAGGGCACGCCUGCCUGGGUGUCGUG